Triticum aestivum (bread wheat) is the source of this 3324-nucleotide long non-coding RNA. RefSeq lists it as uncharacterized. The transcript has 3 exons. The record is from RefSeq and is a predicted model, not a curated record. NCBI's taxonomy places the organism in Eukaryota, Viridiplantae, Streptophyta, Magnoliopsida, Poales, Poaceae.
CCUUCGUCCUCAAUUAAUGGGAUAGGGGAUUUCUAUCCCGUAAUCUUCUCUCUCCCUCACAACACGCCGUCUCUCCUCCUCUUGCCCCACCGACGCGAGAGCAGAUCGCCGCCACCGCCCACCGCUCCUCCUCUGCUGGCUGCUGCCCCAUGGACGCGAGCGUGGAUCGACGUCGCCGUUGUCCGCUCCUCUUCUGCUACUGCUCGGACGCGAACACAAAACUCAGUCGCCGCCGUCCGCUCCUCCUCGCCUCAAGGAUGCGAGCACAUGCCGCCGUCCGCCGGUUGCCGCUCUCCUCUGCCGCCUCAUGGAUGCAAGCGAGGGUCUCCGGCACCAUCGUCCGCUCCACCUCUGCUGCCCCACGGACAUGAGCGUGGGGCACCGUGGCCGCCUGCCGUUCUCCUCUGCUGACCCAGGUCCGUGCGACAGCCCCGUCGAUCCCCUUUGGGCGCAUUCCGUUCGUUUUGCUGCCGAUUUUCGUGGGGAGCAUAUGUUUGGGGGAGCGUUCGUCGGAUGCCUAUUCAGUGGCUCUGUUGCUGACGGAAUUGGUCUUUUCAGCUCUGUGCGCCACUCUUCAGCUCAUAAGAUCAGAAAACUUUUGGGUUAUACAGAGGAUACAAGAGGGUUGUUUCACAGCUGAUUCAGCAUCUUCUUCAAGGUUACAUCUCCCCUGUACUGAUUUACUAUCUUUUCAGUUCAUAUUUAUUAGUGGCCAAAGAUUCAUGCUUGCUCCCAAGUUCUGUUGAUAGAGAUGUAAGACUUUUUCUUUUGUUAACAUGAAUUUAGUUGAUUGUUAACAGAUUUGUCUGUAAGGUUUGAGGCCGCAUUUAACGGACUGAACAUUUUUUCUUUCUGAACUAUGAUCUUAUGGGAAGUAGCGAGAGUGCGGGACUAUGAUUUGGCUAUGGAGGCGUCACCUAACAAUUCUGCAUUCCAGAAUCACCUCGCUUCCCAUUUUUAGAUACGGAGCUCUACAACAGAAUUCCAGUUUGUUCCUCUAUCAUUUAUGUUACAACUUGUUGUUGAUUCUUUUACAUUUCUUUGGUAACUUUAAGUGAAAGGCAACCUACAAUCGAGCAGCGAUUUACCAAAGAGCAGUUUAGAGUUUUCUCUUUCUUUUGUACAUUGUUGUUGUGCAUAAUUUGUUCUGUUAUAGAGCUUUGUUAGAAAAGCUGAUUUAACGCAUUGUUCGGCUUUAGAUUACUGCACCUUAUGGUUGUGAGUGGAUUUAAGAGUUAACAUGAUACAAUAUCUUUUUGAAAGAUGAUAGAUUAUCUCGACACAAGCAGGUGUCAUUUUUUGGCAGCAUCCACGAUUUCAGUGCACAUGAUUUACUACUGAAAUACUCAUGACUUACUAUUUGGCUAUACAUGUUUUACAGUAUUUUCUAGGUGUACUGAAAUUUCUGAAAUGGAGUUGUAUAUCUUGUUUCUUAAAUUUGCAUGAACCAGGAUUGUAUGGGAAUUAGUGUCGGUAUAUGCACAAGUUGCUGUAUGUCCGGUUGUAAAUGGGCUACAAAGAAAUCAGCUUUAAGAUCCUUUAGAACUGACAUGCAGACCAUGUUACGUUUUUGUCAUACAUAUAGUUGUAAGCUUUUCAUUUGGUCUCAAAUUUAAAUGAAGCUGACCAUUUUCAGUCCUUUUUUUGGGGUUGUCCACACAGGACAUACAGUACACGAGUCAUACAUACAGUUUUGAAUCUUCUACUAGCUGGAAAAAUUGAAUGAAUGCUAAUUGGUUUUCAGUCGAUCGUGAAAUAGAUAUAUUCCCUGAUGAAACUGAAACCUUUACCCUUUCUAAAUGUAAACUUGUGCCAUUAAUGCCGCAUUGUUCUUUGGGUCUGUUUUUUCUCACAAACUCAUAACAUGCUAGGAGAAGAAUCAUGUAGGCAGAUGAAUGUAAAUUAUGAAGCAUCUUAGCACCGUUUUUGUAUUUAUUAGUGUCCCUGAAAGCUUAUGCAUCUUACAACCACACCUGACACCACCUACCUUAUCUCUCGUGUUCCUCAUGCCGCCACCUUUCUCUAUGGCCUCCUCCCCACUGCCGGCCGCCGAGUCAACAUCAUCUUCGGGCCGCCCAUCGGCUGCAUCUUUUCCAUGGCUGUAGCCUAUCAAAAAUAGGAGCAAUCCCAUUGUUGGUACAGAGCCUGAAGAUUCUUUGCCUUUGUUUGAACUGGUUCAGUUUUGCCUUUCAUAUGCUAUCUAUUUGAUUGGUCCAUGUAGAUUUAGGCAACAUGAGACGAGCCGAUGAUAUAUAAUGGUAGAUACGAUGCUCUAUGCUGCAAGUGUUUGAUGUCUUGGUGAUGGCAGGUUUUGCGAGUAAUUGACAUGUUUUUUUAGUAGAGGAUAAUUAGAGAUAUAAAGUUCCAACUCAGAUGUUGGGAAAUUUAAAAGUGGACCCUUUGAUUUUGAGUAAUUCUAAGAGAAUACAUCUUAUCGUUCAGGUAUCCUUUUUUUAGUAAUGCUAAGAGCAUACAUGAUACAUCUCAUCAUCCUUGAUAGCUGAUAGCCGAUGACAUGAGCGAGUGGGGGACAGGCCCCUUUAGCUACUGCAAUAAGGUAGUGCAUACUGUUGGAACCCCUUUCACGAUUCCCACUCCACCGGCUGCACCGAGUCUUCAGGAGCGAUCACCAUGUACGGCGCCCGCCCGCCUGCCUCCGCAACGGCCGUAGCACUCCGCACGAUCCUCAUGCUUAUCAUGAUUAGAUAGGGCUCAAUCGUUGGACAUGCAUGUAUAUAAACCCAUGUAAUCGCUCAAUGUGAAUACACGAGAGUUCUGACUCACUUGUCUUCUCAUACAAAUGGGUUACUCAUAUUCCAUUGUUAGACGAGCUAGCCGCAAGAAGUAGGUUCAGCAUUCGGCUCCAUUUGAUUUACAUUCAGAUCAUCUUGCUGCAACACCAUUACUUUUCUUGAUAGCAAACAACUAUUUUCAGUAAUCAUAUAUAUAGCUUGUAUUUGGUUUGUUUAUUUUAUUAUACCAUAGAUAUCAUGAUAAACUUUUAAUCGCUUAAUGAGAAUGUUUUGUUCACUCAAAAUUGAGUGCCUGAUAGUCUGAUUAGAUUGUGUAUGUGAAAAAUAUGCAACAGGAAUAUGCAGCUGCACCUAAAAAAUGACAUUGUUUCCUUGGGGUGUAGACAAAAUAUACAGCUGCACUUUACCACAAGAUGGUUACUAUGGUACUUUCUGGGGAUGUGUAUAGAGGAAUCCCCCAUGUAUUUAGGUUGUUUGCAUAACUAUUACUCUUCUCUAAUUUCUGACUUGGUGAUAAUUCAAAACAUACAUUCUGUUUUGAAAUAAAAAGAUAGGACCAAAAUUGUGUUGU